GCCCACAUAGCUCAGCAGGCAGAGCACUUCCUUGGUAAGGAAGAGGUCUCCGGUUCGAACCCGGAUGUGGGCUCCA
This 76-nucleotide transfer RNA is filed under the name Chloroflexota bacterium. RNAcentral describes it as "tRNA-Thr". It matches the Rfam family "tRNA". Rfam says of the family: Transfer RNA (tRNA) molecules are approximately 80 nucleotides in length. Their secondary structure includes four short double-helical elements and three loops (D, anti-codon, and T loops). Lineage: Bacteria; Bacillati; Chloroflexota. RNAcentral also lists the same sequence under 1 other name. The record is from RNAcentral.